UGUACAUGAUCAUCGUUAUAUACGUUAUUUUACUGUUGGUUUUAUCUCCUUGAUUUUGCAACGUUGGAUUUGAGAUCGAUGAAUUUGUUAUAUCUGAGACACUGUUAUUUAUUUAUGUGAUUUUGAGCAUGAGUAUGUUAUAUCAAUACAUAUGUAUCAGCGAUUGAUGGCAUGAUUAUGUGUAUGACAUAUUUAUUACACUGCAAAAGAUGAAUUGAUUAAUGAAGUUAAAUAUCAUAAUUUUAUGAAAAUGAAAAGAAAGAGAAAUAUGGUUUGGACUGACCUUGUUAUGUGGAAUAGCUUGCCAGGAGCUUAU
This 316-nucleotide long non-coding RNA is filed under the name Elaeis guineensis (African oil palm). RNAcentral's name for it is "long non-coding RNA (EGUI_LNC032112)". Lineage: Eukaryota; Viridiplantae; Streptophyta; Magnoliopsida; Arecales; Arecaceae. The record is from RNAcentral.